GGCGGUAUUUUAGUCUAUUUAGAGGAACCUGUUCUGUAAUUGAUACCCCACGAUUAAAUUUACUUAUUUUUAUAUUUACAUAUCGCUGUAGAUUGAAUAUUUUUAUAGAAUAAAUCAAUAUUCAAGAUUUUUUGAGAAAAAAAUUCAAGUCAAGGUGUAGUUUAUAGAUAAGAAGAAAUGGGUUACAAUAAAUUUAUUUAAGCGGAUUUAAUUUGGUAUUAAAAUUUUUGAAGUUGGAUUUAAAAGUAAUAAUUAUAAAUAUUUGUAGUAUGAUUUAAGCUCUAAAAUAUGUACAUAUUGCCCGUCGCUUUCAUUCUAAGGUGAAAUAAGUCGUAACAAAGUAGGUGUACUGGAAGGUGCCCCUGGAAAAUUUCAGAUUAAAGCUUUUAUUAAAGCAUUUUAGUUACAUUAAAAAGAAUACUUUUAGUAGUAUAAUUUGAAAAAUUGAUUUUUAUUAUAAUAAUUGAAUUGUAUUUUUAAUUAAAAAAAAUAAUUUAAAUUUUAUUAAAAAUUAUGAAUAAAUUAAUUUAAUGAUAGAGUAUUAGUAUUGAAAAAGAAUAUUGUUAUUUUAUGAUAAGAAUAAUUUAUUUUUAGUACCUUGUGUACCAGGGUUUAUUAAAAAAAAUUUAUUAAAUUAAAUUUCUCGAAUUUAAAAGAGCUAUAUUUAUAUAAUUAUUAUUGUAGAAUAAAUAUUAUUCAUAUUAAUAUAGAAGUGAAACAUUAUUCGAUUUUAAAUAUAUCUAGUUUUUAAAGAAAAAAAUUUAAUUUUAUUUUUAUUUAAUUAUUAAUUUAUUUUUUUAAAUUAAUAUUUAGUAAAAUUUUAUAUUUUAGGGGAUGAGCUUUAAAAUAAAUUUAUAUAAGUUUUUAUUUUAAUAUUUAAUAAGUAGGAUUAUAAGUUUUUAUCUUUAUUAGUGUUUUAUAACUAGUUAAAUUUUAAUUAUUAUUUUUAUAUUAAUUUUAUGUGAUUUAUUUAAAUAUAAGUUUAAAUAUAAAAAAUUUAGUAAUAAUGAUAAAAUUAGUAUAUUGAAAUUGUAUUAUAAAUUUAGGUAUAUUAGGUUUUAUAAAGGAACUCGGCAAAUUAUUAUUUUUCACCUGUUUAUCAAAAACAUGGCCUUUUGUUAAUAAUUUAAGGUCUAACCUGCUCAAUGAAUUUUAAAUGGCCGCAGUAUCCUAACUGUGCAAAGGUAGCAUAAUCAUUAGUUUCUUAAUUAGAAGCUGGAAUGAAAGGUUGAAUGAAAAAAUAACUGUCUCUAUAAAAAUUUUAUAGAAAUUUAUUUUUAAGUUAAAAAGCUUAAAUUUUAAUAAAAGACAAGAAGACCCUAUAGAGUUUAAUAUUUGUGUAUAAUUUUUUUUUUUAGUAUUUUA
RNAcentral lists this ribosomal RNA (1365 nucleotides) under Mogulones larvatus. RNAcentral describes it as "partial 16S ribosomal RNA". The record is from RNAcentral. Lineage: Eukaryota; Metazoa; Arthropoda; Insecta; Coleoptera; Curculionidae.